Molecule: ribosomal RNA, 402 nt
Filed under: uncultured Phenylobacterium sp.
Lineage: Bacteria; Pseudomonadati; Pseudomonadota; Alphaproteobacteria; Caulobacterales; Caulobacteraceae
Description: bacterial SSU rRNA
Rfam family: Bacterial small subunit ribosomal RNA
Source: RNAcentral
UAGGGAAUCUUGCGCAAUGGGCGAAAGCCUGACGCAGCCAUGCCGCGUGAAUGAUGAAGGUCUUAGGAUUGUAAAAUUCUUUCAGCGGGGACGAUAAUGACGGUACCCGCAGAAGAAGCCCCGGCUAACUUCGUGCCAGCAGCCGCGGUAAUACGAAGGGGGCUAGCGUUGCUCGGAAUUACUGGGCGUAAAGGGCGCGUAGGCGGACAGUUUAGUCAGAGGUCAAAGCCCAGGGCUCAACCUUGGAAUCGCCUUUGAUACUGGCUGUCUUGAGUGCGGGAGAGGUGUGUGGAACUCCGAGUGUAGAGGUGAAAUUCGUAGAUAUUCGGAAGAACACCAGUGGCGAAGGCGACACACUGGCCCGUUACUGACGCUGAGGCGCGAAAGCGUGGGGAGCAAACA